Cynoglossus semilaevis (tongue sole) is the source of this 144-nucleotide non-coding RNA. RefSeq annotates it as small Cajal body-specific RNA 1. The record is from RefSeq and is a predicted model, not a curated record. The transcript has a single exon. Lineage: Eukaryota; Metazoa; Chordata; Actinopteri; Pleuronectiformes; Cynoglossidae.
CCGCACCAGAUACAAGCCCGACAGCCCGUCUCCACCCAGACGGCCGUGGCUGCGGGGCUCUGACGGUGCCACAUCAACUGGCCCUGAGAUUUAAGCUGUACAGUGGGGAGUUUCACUGUAGAGUUAUGACUCGAGGGCACAGAG